CAGUAGCCGCGGUAAUACGAAGGGUGCAAGCGUUGUUCGGAAUCACUGGGCGUAAAGCGCACGUAGGCGGACUUUUAAGUCAGGGGUGAAAUCCCAAGGCUCAACCUUGGAACUGCCUUUGAUACUGGAAGUCUUGAGUUCGGGAGAGGUGAGUGGAACUGCGAGUGUAGAGGUGAAAUUCGUAGAUAUUCGCAAGAACACCAGUGGCGAAGGCGGCUCACUGGCCCGAUACUGACGCUGAGGUGCGAAAGCGUGGGGAGCAAACAGGAUUAGAUACCCGGGUAGUCCCUGUCUCUUAUAC
RNAcentral lists this ribosomal RNA (301 nucleotides) under uncultured bacterium. RNAcentral describes it as "partial 16S ribosomal RNA". It matches the Rfam family "Bacterial small subunit ribosomal RNA", at positions 509 to 807 of the family's 1533-position model. The record is from RNAcentral.